Molecule: non-coding RNA, 21 nt
Filed under: Arabidopsis thaliana (thale cress)
Lineage: Eukaryota; Viridiplantae; Streptophyta; Magnoliopsida; Brassicales; Brassicaceae
Also listed under: 4 other names
Source: RNAcentral
CUCGGACCAGGCUUCAUUCCC